This 872-nucleotide long non-coding RNA is filed under the name Lynx pardinus (Iberian lynx). The stretch from base 432 to 510 matches the Rfam family "ZEB2 antisense RNA 1 conserved region 4". Lineage: Eukaryota; Metazoa; Chordata; Mammalia; Carnivora; Felidae. The record is from RNAcentral.
CCGGGUCCUUAAUCCAGAUCGCCUCUUCUUAUACAGAUAUUUCUAAUGGCCAGACUUGAGAUGCACAUUAAGUUGUGUGGAUUUCUCAGCACGUCUUCUGGAACUAAAUUCUUUGCCCUUUUUCUUCUUUUAUUUUAUUUUAUUUUUCUUUUUGGAUGGCAGAGCCAGAAAAAAAAAUGCUGCAUGUGAACUACAUCUUAGGGUGUGUGUGCUGGGGUGUGUGUAUGAUGAAUUUCUGGAUUGGAUCUCAAUGGUAAAAAGUAGUUUGGCAUUUUUAAAAAGGGUCUCUAAGUAAAUUAACAUAGAGCGCUGGGUUGACUGAUCUCUGAAUCUCUCUACAUCUCACGGAGACCUCACUACAAAGUGAGGGAGUGUGUGUAGGAGGAAAAGGAGAAAGGCCAUAGAGGGACUUAGCAGGGAAGGAAGAGUAUGAUAUUAAACGGCAUGGGGUCUAAGUUUUGGAGUAUAUAUUUUUCUGAUAUUGCAAUUAAAGUAAAAUUAAAAAGAAAAGACUCCACCUUUGCUCUGAAGGGAUUGGUUAUGUAAAUAUGGAAGGGAUUUCCUGGAGAAUACAGCUUUCUACUGUAUGGUUAAUUAAAUAAUCACUCAAAAGCUUCCAACGUGACGCUUCUGUCGUAAUCCAAUCAGGUUACAUAGGUCCUAAACAAGAAAGAUAUUUUCCACAUCUGGAAGUCAGCAAUUUAGCAAGUACUGCACAUUAUUAACCGAUUCAGAGCCCACUUCCCAGGGGAAUUUUUUUUGAAGUUUAAGUGUUCUUAACCAAUGCUCUGCUGUUUUGUUAAUCAAAAAGCUGGUUUACACUGCACGUAAUUGGAACUAAUAUAGAAGUAAAUAAAGACAGCCAAAUUUGA